GAUGAACGCUGACAGAAUGCUUAACACAUGCAAGUCUACUUGAAUUUGGGUCCUAGACUUAGAUUUGGGUGGCGGACGGGUGAGUAACGCGUAAAGAACUUGCCUCACAGUUAGGGACAACAUUUGGAAACGAAUGCUAAUACCUGAUAUUAUGAUUAUACGGCAUCGUAUAAUUAUGAAAGCUAUAUGCGCUGUGAGAGAGCUUUGCGUCCCAUUAGCUAGUUGGAGAGGUAACGGCUCACCAAGGCGAUGAUGGGUAGCCGGCCUGAGAGGGUGAACGGCCACAAGGGGACUGAGACACGGCCCUUACUCCUACGGGAGGCAGCAGUGGGGAAUAUUGGACAAUGGACCAAAAGUCUGAUCCAGCAAUUCUGUGUGCACGAUGACGUUUUUCGGAAUGUAAAGUGCUUUCAGUUGGGAAGAAAAAAAUGACGGUACCAACAGAAGAAGUG
This 452-nucleotide ribosomal RNA is filed under the name Fusobacterium sp. oral taxon 370. RNAcentral's name for it is "bacterial SSU rRNA". It matches the Rfam family "Bacterial small subunit ribosomal RNA", at positions 28 to 492 of the family's 1533-position model. The record is from RNAcentral. Lineage: Bacteria; Fusobacteriati; Fusobacteriota; Fusobacteriia; Fusobacteriales; Fusobacteriaceae.